Molecule: long non-coding RNA, 415 nt
Filed under: Carica papaya (papaya)
Lineage: Eukaryota; Viridiplantae; Streptophyta; Magnoliopsida; Brassicales; Caricaceae
Description: long non-coding RNA (CPAP_LNC010731)
Source: RNAcentral
UGAAUUUCACCGAGGUAAGUGGAUGGUGAAGGAUUUAUUAUUGAUAAAAGAAUUUGUUGUAAAUUAUGCUCCAUUGGUCUUUUUGUGUUUUCUACCCACCUUUACCUCCGUGACGGUGAGAUAUCGUGAUGUCUUUACUGGGCUAGUGUAGCUCAUUCCUUAUUUAAUCAUUUCAGAUCAGGAAGACAUUGUUCCCGAGCCCGUUUCGCAGGAGGACGACGAAGGGGACGCCUAAAGACUCCAUAGUCAUAUUCGUAGCUUUUACUUUCGAGUUUCUCCUCUAGGUAGUUUGAUCUUUUAUAUUUUGUGAGCACGUUUUUGGUUUUAGUGUAAGGGAUGUUAAUCGAAUUUUUAACUUCGUUUCCGCAUUUGAUAUUUUUAAUACACAUUUCAUUUUAAAUUUCCGGGGCCGUUA